Molecule: ribosomal RNA, 468 nt
Filed under: uncultured bacterium
Lineage: Bacteria
Description: partial 16S ribosomal RNA
Rfam family: Bacterial small subunit ribosomal RNA
Source: RNAcentral
GACGAACGCUGGCGGCGUGCUUAACACAUGCAAGUCGAACGGAAAGGCCCUGCUUUUGUGGGUUGCUCGAGUGGCGAACGGGUGAGUAACACGUGAGUAACCUGCCCUUGACUUUGGGAUAACUUCAGGAAACUGGGGCUAAUACCGGAUAGGAGCUCCUGCUGCAUGGUGGGGGUUGGAAAGUUUCGGCGGUUGGGGAUGGACUCGCGGCUUAUCAGCUUGUUGGUGUGGUAGUGGCUUACCAAGGCUUUGACGGGUAGCCGGCCUGAGAGGGUGAACGGCCACAUUGGGACUGAGAUACGGCCCAGAAGCCUACGGGAGGCAGCAGUGGGGAAUAUUGCACAAUGGGCGGAAGCCUGAGGCAGCAACGCCGCGUGCGGGAUGACGGCCUUCGGGGUGUAAACCGCUUUCGCCUGUGACGAAGAGUGAGUGACGGUAAUGGGUAAAGAAGCACCGGCUAACUACGUG